UACGUAGGGACCAAGCGUUGUUCGGAUUUACUGGGCGUAAAGGGCGCGUAGGCGGCGUGUUAAGUCAGCUGUGAAAUCUCCAAGCUUAACUUGGAACGGUCAGCUGAUACUGAUGUGCUAGAGUGCAGAAAGGGCAAUCGGAAUUCUUGGUGUAGCGGUGAAAUGCGUAGAUAUCAAGAGGAACACCUGAGGCGAAGGCGGGUUGCUAGGCUGACACUGACGCUGAGAAGCGAAAGCAUGGGGAGCGAACAGG
This 253-nucleotide ribosomal RNA is filed under the name uncultured bacterium. RNAcentral's name for it is "partial 16S ribosomal RNA". It matches the Rfam family "Bacterial small subunit ribosomal RNA", at positions 524 to 776 of the family's 1533-position model. The record is from RNAcentral.